RNAcentral lists this small RNA (105 nucleotides) under Siansivirga zeaxanthinifaciens CC-SAMT-1. Its description in RNAcentral is "Flavo-1 RNA". It matches the Rfam family "Flavo-1 RNA". The record is from Rfam by way of RNAcentral. Lineage: Bacteria; Pseudomonadati; Bacteroidota; Flavobacteriia; Flavobacteriales; Flavobacteriaceae.
AGUUAGUCGCACGCGUUAGGGAUAGAAACGGCAUCCUUUUUAAAUAGCCUUUGCUUUUAAAAGCAAAGGCUAUUUAAAAAGAUAUAGUGUAUAGCCCGACCCCAA